RNAcentral lists this ribosomal RNA (640 nucleotides) under Candida tropicalis. Its description in RNAcentral is "eukaryotic LSU rRNA". It matches the Rfam family "Eukaryotic large subunit ribosomal RNA", at positions 36 to 692 of the family's 3401-position model. The record is from RNAcentral. Lineage: Eukaryota; Fungi; Ascomycota; Pichiomycetes; Serinales; Debaryomycetaceae.
AAGCAUAUCAAUAAGCGGAGGAAAAGAAACCAACAGGGAUUGCCUUAGUAGCGGCGAGUGAAGCGGCAAAAGCUCAAAUUUGAAAUCUGGCUCUUUCAGAGUCCGAGUUGUAAUUUGAAGAAGGUAUCUUUGGGUCUGGCUCUUGUCUAUGUUUCUUGGAACAGAACGUCACAGAGGGUGAGAAUCCCGUGCGAUGAGAUGAUCCAGGCCUAUGUAAAGUUCCUUCGAAGAGUCGAGUUGUUUGGGAAUGCAGCUCUAAGUGGGUGGUAAAUUCCAUCUAAAGCUAAAUAUUGGCGAGAGACCGAUAGCGAACAAGUACAGUGAUGGAAAGAUGAAAAGAACUUUGAAAAGAGAGUGAAAAAGUACGUGAAAUUGUUGAAAGGGAAGGGCUUGAGAUCAGACUUGGUAUUUUGUAUGUUACUUCUUCGGGGGUGGCCUCUACAGUUUAUCGGGCCAGCAUCAGUUUGGGCGGUAGGAGAAUUGCGUUGGAAUGUGGCACGGCUUCGGUUGUGUGUUAUAGCCUUCGUCGAUACUGCCAGCCUAGACUGAGGACUGCGGUUUAUACCUAGGAUGUUGGCAUAAUGAUCUUAAGUCGCCCGUCUUGAAACACGGACCAAGGAGUCUAACGUCUAUGCGAGUG